AACGAACGCUGGCGGCAUGCCUAACACAUGCAAGUCGAACGAAAACUUCGGGUCUAUUGGCGCACGUGUGCGUAACGCGUGGGAAGCUGCACUUAGGUUCCGUAUACCUCACCGUAAGGGGUGCUAAUAAAGGUUGAUGUAUUCGGAGCAAAGAUUUCUUGCCUUUGGAUGGGCCCGCGUUGGAUUCGCUAGUUGGUAGUGUAAAAGCCUACCAAGGCGACGAUCCAGAGCUGGUCUGUGAGGAUGCUCAUCCACGCUUGGACUGCGACACGGCCCAGACCCCUACGCAAGGGAGGAGUAGAGAGUAUAGGGCGCGGGAGCCAAGUCUGAUACAGCCAUGCCGCGUGAGUGAGGAGUGGCUUAGUGUUCUGAAGCUCUUUUACCCGGGACGAGAAUGACAGUACCGGGUGAAUAAGCACCGGCUAACUCCGUG
This 433-nucleotide ribosomal RNA is filed under the name uncultured bacterium. Its description in RNAcentral is "partial 16S ribosomal RNA". It matches the Rfam family "Bacterial small subunit ribosomal RNA", at positions 29 to 507 of the family's 1533-position model. The record is from RNAcentral.